GGAUGCGAGGGUGAUCUGGCUAUGUCAUCUGUCACACUACUGAUUGUUUAUUCAGCUAAUCUGGCUGGCUGGCUAGGCAGGUGUCCCUUUCCUCCUUCAUUGCACUAUGUACUUCCCUCUCAAAGCUGCAUGCGUGGUCGAAGACGAUGACAUUCCCCAAAUAGAGGACAAUCCAUCUUCAGUCAAGAGUAUGUGAAUAGCUGUGCUCCAAACCUCCAAACAAGCUCUCAAGAAGAGGGGUUUUGGUGUAGAGGGUGGGGGAGACUGGACAAAGGAGAGUGUGAGGAAAAAUUGUGUAUAUAAACUGAAAAUAUUAAUCAUUGAAUAC
Molecule: small nuclear RNA, 328 nt
Filed under: Jaculus jaculus (lesser Egyptian jerboa)
Lineage: Eukaryota; Metazoa; Chordata; Mammalia; Rodentia; Dipodidae
Description: 7SK RNA (ENSJJAG00000005488.1)
Rfam family: 7SK RNA (bases 1-274)
About the family: 7SK was discovered as an abundant small nuclear RNA in the mid-70s but a possible function has only recently been suggested. Two independent studies have found that 7SK RNA binds the CDK9/cyclin T complex (known as elongation factor P-TEFb). P-TEFb activates transcription by phosphorylating the C-terminal domain of RNA polymerase II.
Source: RNAcentral